RNAcentral lists this long non-coding RNA (3331 nucleotides) under Sus scrofa (pig). Its description in RNAcentral is "lncRNA (ENSSSCG00000054511.1)". The record is from RNAcentral. Lineage: Eukaryota; Metazoa; Chordata; Mammalia; Artiodactyla; Suidae.
AUAUCCAGACAAAACAUUCAUCCAAAAAGAUAUAUGCACCCCUAUGUUCAUCACAGCACUUUUCACAAUAGCCAAGACAUGGAAACAACCUAAAUGUCCAUCAACAGAUGAAUGGAUUAAGAAGAUGUGGUAUGUAUAUACAAUGUAAUACUAUUCAGCCAUAAAACAGACAAAAUAAUGCCAUUUUGGGCAACAUGGAUGGAACUGGACAUUCUCAUACUAGGUGAAGUAAAUCAGACAGAUAACCCUAUGGUAGCACUUAUAUGUGGAAUCUAAAAUAUAUCACAGAUGAUCCUAUCUACAAAAUGGAAAUAGGCCAUGGGCAUGGAGAGAAGACUUGUGGUUCCCAGCGGGGAGGAGGAAGGGAGUGGGAUGAAUGGGGAGUUUGGGGUUGGUGGAUGCAAACUGUAACAUCUGGAAUGAUGGGCAAGGGGGUUCUACUGCACAGCACAGGGAGCUGUGUGUGAUUGGGUCACUUUGUUGUACAACAGAAAUCAAAGAAACAUCGUAAAUCAAGUAUAAUAAAAAAAGAGAGUGAGAAAAUAAAAGGCUUGUUCCUAAAAUCCAAAUUAGAACAGUAAUUUAACUUCCAUCUUAGAUUCCAUGGACCAUUAUUGUAAUUACUCUCUUACCUAUAUCCUGAACUACCUUGACCUUCUAUGCCUCCAACAUACUCAUAUCACUAAAUUUGUCUUUCUUCCCUGUACCAAACUUAAGGAGCUGAAUACAAAAAAAUAGGAAAAUAUUCAAUCAUGCUGAUUGCUUUUACUUUAAAUUUAUGAACACAAACCUUAAGCAAUUCCUUAGUGCAGCCUGGCAGUCAUAUUCAAUUCCAUUGUCAGUAAACUUUCUCAAAUCUCUAAGGCGACUAUAUAUCACCUUCUUAGUUCUUCUCAAACACCUAGCACAUCUUCCCUCUUCUUUUUCUUGACUAAAGCCCUUGCUUCUUGUUCACUACAUAGUACAAACAGAAAAAAAUUGUCUUUAAUUUCCCCUAUUGUAUCGACCAUACUAUUGUCCUGCAGACCCAUAUAUUCUGCCUUGUCCUUAUCAUAAGUGAAUGACUCCACCUGCUCACUGAAUCUUACCCACUCCUGACCCAAAAUUUCAUGACUACAAUCAUCCUGCAAGUAUUGCUUUCUCAUCUAAAUCAACAAACAAACAUAGUUUAAUAUUUCUCAUUUUUCUAAAAGCUCUCUGUUAGGAAAGAUAGUCAUUUCAGCUUGUCAACUUUUGCAUGGUCAUAUAAGAGCAGCCUUGGGCCUGGAACAUUUCCUUGCAAAGACAUAAAGAACCCUCACAGCCUGUACUGGGCAUACAUCAUUGUUUGGGAAUUUCUUUCCCUGUUCAGGCAUUGAUGUAUGCUUUGCUUUACUUAGGUAUGAAGCACAUGGCACUUGGCCAACCCCACUGCUAUAUUUGUUGCCAGUGGGGACAACUGCAGCACAAUUUAGGGUGUGUAUAGGUACACCAACAUGUUGGCUUUUGAGUGGUUCUGCUGGCCGUGAAGGACAAAUGCAUUGCAAGGGGAUGGAUCUUGUGCAUUCUCUCUAGAUAAACACUGUACCACUGUGACUGGUGUGCAUGUUGUCUGUUCUCAGUGACCUCAAUUCAUGCACUGGUCUCUUCCUUGGGUGGCACUUUUGUUAUAGUCUAUAUAACCUUUUAACCUUGGCUGCACUCAUGUUUUAUUCUAUCUUGUGGUACUGCCUGACCACCCAAUGAACAAUGAAACACCCUCCCAUGGUUCCAGCGUGCAGAGUCAAAAUCUUUAUUGAGAGUAAUCCCUUCAUAAAAUUAAUUGCUCUACAUACAUGCCUCUAUUUCACUUGAGAAGCCACUUUUUAAAAAAAAAAAAGAUCUUAAAAUCAGUUCCUAGAGGAAAUGACAAAAACAGCAAGAACAAAGUGACAUAAUCAAUAUGAUUACACAAUUUGAAUUUAUUCAGUGCUCUAAUGAAUACUAUAAUAAUGAACACCCAAAAGUUCAAAUAUUAAAAGCUUAUUUUAUAUCAGAUACUGUAACAAGCUUUUGACAUAAAUCAUUUUCACUAACUCUCAUAUUAAUUUUAUAAGUAGGACAUUGUGAUUGACCUCAUUUUAUAGAUGAUGAAAAAAAGACACACCGAAUAUCACUUACAUGCCCAAGAUCAUGCAGCUAUUAAGUGGGGGAGCUGAAAUUUGAACCACAGCAAUGCGACUCCAGAGUUUUUGCUCUUUAACCAUUACCCUCUACUGUGAAUGUAUAACAACUUUUCCUUUCAACCUCUCAUUGUUCUUGCUGAGCUUGAAAUUCAAGCAGAUUGAGCUGAGCCAAAUAUAGCUCACCUCUGCUUCCCAAUAAGUUCUUGAUAUCACAAGCUAAAUUAGGAGCUUUUUCCACAAUUAAGAUAUAAGGAAAACUUUAUUAACUACCAACUAAGAUGCCAAUUAAGGACCAUGUGUUUGAAAGCCUAGAGAACACUCAGAAGUGCUGACAGUAGAUGUGAGAGCAAGUAGGUAUUUAACAUUUAGUAGCAUUCUUUCUUUUAUGCUCUGUGUUCAAAACGAAUUCAGUGACAUGGGUUCAAGCAAUAAGAUUCCAUGACUUCCCUACAAAAAAAUUUUGAAAGUAUUGUUUAAUUAAUUCAGAUGCAAAGACAUUAGAGCUGAGUGCAUAGAUUCAAAAUGCCUAAUUUUUAUCACUUUUUAAGAUUACCUGUCAUAAUUAGGACCUCUCUAAGUUUUCUGUGAUUCAGCUUUAUAUUUUCUUGAAUAACUUUAUUGAAACAAAUGCCAACUCAGAUCAUCAAGGAAGUAAUUUGGGGUAAAUAUUCUACUUAAAAACAAAUGUAAGUUACUUGAAAAUUAUGCUUGUAGUACAGUCAGAGAUUGUUGUUUUGGUAAACUAGUUUUAUUUUAUAACAUUUGAGUAUGUAGGAGUUUUAGUUAUCCAUUUGAUAUGUAAAUGAAAAAUUGACCAUUGAUUAGAAAAUGACAUUUUAAUUUAGAUGAAUAUUUAUGCAGUAGCAUAUGGCUCAAAAUGCCUGCCAAAGAAGUCUGUUAACAGAAGCUAAUAACUUGUGAAGCACAUGAAGUUUGUUUAUAAAAGCCCUCUUUUGGGAGUUCCCAUCAUGGCACAGCAGCAAUGAAUCUGACUAGGAACCAUGAGGUUGUGGGUUCGAUCCCUGCCCUUGCUCAGUGGGUUAACGAUCCGGCGUUGCCGUGAGCUGUGGUGUAAGUCGCAGACAUGGCUCGGAUCCUGUGUUGCUGUGGCUGUGGUGUAGGCCAGCAGCUGUAGCUCUGAUAAGACCCCUAGCCUUGGAACCUCCAUAUGCCACAGGUGUGGCCCU